GUGUCAGCAGCCGCGGUAAUACGUAGGGGGCAAGCGUUGUCCGGAUUUAUUGGGCGUAAAGAGCGUGUAGGCGGCUUGGUAGGUCUUGCGUCAAAACCUGAGGCUCAACCUCAGUUCGCGUGGGAAACCACCUAGCUAGAGUCCGGAAGAGGAGAACGGAAUUCCCAGUGUAGCGGUGAAAUGCGCAGAUAUUGGGAAGAACACCGGUGGCGAAGGCGGCCAACUGGACCAUUUCUGACGCUGAGGCGCGAAAGCGUGGGGAGCAAACAGGAUUAGAUACCCUGGUAGUCCACGCCGUAAACGAUGGGUGCUAGGUGUGGGCGGUGUCGACUCCGUCCGUGCCGAAGCUAACGCAUUAAGCACCCCGCCUGGGAGUACGGCCGCAAGGCUAAAACUCAAAGGAAUUGACGG
Molecule: ribosomal RNA, 411 nt
Filed under: uncultured bacterium
Lineage: Bacteria
Description: bacterial SSU rRNA
Rfam family: Bacterial small subunit ribosomal RNA
Source: RNAcentral